AGUUUUCUUCUAUAAAAGUUUCUCUUAUGAGAAAACACGGUUACCCUCUAUAAGAACACUUUGUCUUUACAGCAGUUUUGUAUUAUACCAACAUCCGCAGAUGCAGAUGAAUAGCAUAAGUAACCCCUUUGCAUGGAAAACGGUUAUAAAAACCAGAUAUUUUACCAUAAGAGAUUGGAGGGAAAACAGUGGUUUAAAAAGAAUGAUUGGAUUUCAAACGUGAAUAUUUCUAAGAGUAAAUGGUACUUUUUUUAAAUUCUAAAGCUGUCCAAUGUGCUCUUCGAAUAUCACACAUGUAUUCAAACUUCUACCCUACACAUUACAGUAAGUUGGCAGUCACAGGAGCAAUGUUGCUGGGAAAUAAAAAUGGCCACAAUGGAGUGUCUAAUUUUUGAUUGGUUGUUAUCGGCGGCCAUGCUGCAUUGAGAUUUUGUUACAUGUGUGUCAUACAUGUAUUGUGUGUUGCCUACACUGCAAUUGCUUUGAUAUUUGAUUUUAAAUUUGAGUUUUAGAUGUACAUGGCGGUUGAGCAGAGCUUUUAGCUCCUACUGUCUCGUAUCAAGUCACUGUAACAUACUUUGGCACUCAGCGGUAGCUAAUUUGAACUUUAUACCUUGCACUUUCAUUCGAGGUCCGCCAGAGAUAUGUAGGUCUAAUUUUCAUUAACAGAAUUCCUCUCUUGACCUGACAAAAGUAGGCGUAACAGAUCCGGAAGUCCCGAUGGUGAGCCACGAAUUUGAACGACCCUGUACAUAUGGUUUGUUUCCUUACGACUAAUGAUUGUCUUACGUGAUAAAUCUGAAUUUUGUGAAAUAUACCACUCGCCUUUUCCCAAAGUCUGAUCUCCUAGAUGUUAGUGUCAGAACCGAGAAGUCAUCGUCUGUCGGUUCGUUUAUUUGAAGUAGCCCAGAGACAAGGUAAAUUAAAGACUUCGUACGAGUUAAUUAGGCUUAUUCCUUAAUUAACAUUUUUGGAAAUAAACGCUUUAUCAUUCACAAUCUACACAAACAUUUUACAAUAAAUGCAAAUAUUAGGUACUCAAGGGAAUGCAUUAGUACGAACCAAUUUUCGUAGCUCAUCAUCUGAACAAAAAAAUCUGAAGAAAUUGUGGUCAAAUUGCUACUAAACUCCAUUAGGGCUGCAUCGAAGAACAGAGUCACGGACUUACAAAAUUUUUGGUUUCUAGCACAGAAUUGAGGUUCAUGUGUCUCUGAAUAAGUACUAAACGAGUCGCUUGCAUUGCUACGAACUACCUUUCAUG
Molecule: long non-coding RNA, 1261 nt
Organism: Photinus pyralis (common eastern firefly)
Lineage: Eukaryota; Metazoa; Arthropoda; Insecta; Coleoptera; Lampyridae
Exons: 3
Source: RefSeq, a predicted model, not a curated record